Suricata suricatta (meerkat) is the source of this 570-nucleotide long non-coding RNA. RefSeq lists it as uncharacterized. The record is from RefSeq and is a predicted model, not a curated record. The transcript has 3 exons. NCBI's taxonomy places the organism in Eukaryota, Metazoa, Chordata, Mammalia, Carnivora, Herpestidae.
UUGGACGCUUAACCGACUGAGCCAUCCAGUCUAUCAUAAUAAAAUUCUGCAAAGUGACUUAAAAGAAAAAUGAAAAAUUCCUGGAACCUUAAUAAGGAGCAGCAAACUGAAAUUUGGGCCGCAAGAGUGAUGCUAAUCUAACAUUGUCUCCCUAACAGAAGAACAUCAAGUGGUAGCAGUCCCAUGGAUUCAUUGAUAGGGAUGAACACUUGAAACGUAUGGCAGUCAUUAAGUUUUCUUCCUGUCCAUAUUUUAUAUUCCCAGUGAUAGGUGAAUAAUCCCAAAUUUGACCUAACUUCUGUCUCAUAAUGGUCUUGAAUAUCUUUCUCAAACCUUAUCUAAUUCAAGUGUUUCAAUUUCUUGGAAUAUUGGUAAACCUAAACUCCAGUGAAAUACUGGCCAAUGGCAGUAUCUAUGGUUGGUGUGCAUUGUCUUCUAACAAAUCUUGUUAACGUAUAUUAUAGAGUAUAGCUAAAAAUCAAUUCUGUCUUUAUAUGUCGGGGGUCAAUAUUUUGUUUCCUGGUUUCUUUAUUCAUUUUCUGUAUUAUGAUUACAUAAAUAUUCCCAAUC